RNAcentral lists this ribosomal RNA (542 nucleotides) under Staphylococcus aureus. RNAcentral's name for it is "partial 23S ribosomal RNA". It matches the Rfam family "Bacterial large subunit ribosomal RNA", at positions 2341 to 2884 of the family's 2925-position model. Lineage: Bacteria; Bacillati; Bacillota; Bacilli; Caryophanales; Staphylococcaceae. The record is from RNAcentral.
UUCAUAGAGUGUAAAGGCAUAAGGGAGCUUGACUGCGAGACCUACAAGUCGAGCAGGGUCGAAAGACGGACUUAGUGAUCCGGUGGUUCCGCAUGGAAGGGCCAUCGCUCAACGGAUAAAAGCUACCCCGGGGAUAACAGGCUUAUCUCCCCCAAGAGUUCACAUCGACGGGGAGGUUUGGCACCUCGAUGUCGGCUCAUCGCAUCCUGGGGCUGUAGUCGGUCCCAAGGGUUGGGCUGUUCGCCCAUUAAAGCGGUACGCGAGCUGGGUUCAGAACGUCGUGAGACAGUUCGGUCCCUAUCCGUCGUGGGCGUAGGAAAUUUGAGAGGAGCUGUCCUUAGUACGAGAGGACCGGGAUGGACAUACCUCUGGUGUACCAGUUGUCGUGCCAACGGCAUAGCUGGGUAGCUAUGUGUGGACGGGAUAAGUGCUGAAAGCAUCUAAGCAUGAAGCCCCCCUCAAGAUGAGAUUUCCCAACUUCGGUUAUAAGAUCCCUCAAAGAUGAUGAGGUUAAUAGGUUCGAGGUGGAAGCAUGGUGACAU